Non-coding RNA from Leptonychotes weddellii (Weddell seal), 2958 nucleotides. NCBI's taxonomy places the organism in Eukaryota, Metazoa, Chordata, Mammalia, Carnivora, Phocidae. The record is from RefSeq and is a predicted model, not a curated record.
GUGGUAGUCAAGAAGCUCUGUGGCGGUGCAUGACAUAUUUGUCCUCACAAGCCUAGGAGGUAUCUGGAGACACACAUGUUGCUAAAGUAGAAUGCUUAUGAGGAGAAAUGCUGGUCAGAGUCAUGAUCCCAAAGUAUGAGAAGGUUCUGAAGGUUUUCAAUAGUUAUGAAAAGAGAAAAAUAGACCUGAAUGUUUUAGAAAAAUUUACAAAAGAGGUUAAACUUUCUUAGGCCUAAGAUGAUUUUGAGUUAAAAUACAGGCACUUAAAAUAAUAGUAAAAAUAGCUAACAUUUAUUGAAUGAUUACUCUUGUUCUAGAAACUGUUCUUCAUGCUUUGCCUGUACCUUUGUUUUUUCUUCAGAAUAACUCUGUGUACUGAUACUAUACCAAUCUCUAUUUAAAAAACAAGGAAACCAAGGCACAUACAUUUUAAAUAAACAUAUUCAGACUCACCCCAGCAGCAAGUGGGAGAAAUGAGAUUCAAAUAGGCUUCUCUCACUUUAGAGCUUAUAUUCCUAACACAGUGCAAUGCAAUAUUACAAAACAUACUAUUCUAAGAUCCCUUAAAGAAUGAUCCUCAAAGAUGGAAAUCUCAAAUACCUUUUUUUUUCUUAAAUAGCAAGAGAAAAAAAAAAGGCUCAAUCCCGUUGUCUUCCAGUGUUUCUGUACCGUUCCUUUCCUUUGCCCAUCACCACCCCCAACACACAAACAUAUUUUGGAACGUCCCUGGCUCUGCACAUGUCAGUAUACUCAACAAGGACUGAUAGCGACCUACAGUUACUAUCAGUGCCACCCAUCUCUGUGGGCUCUAAAGUUGUAGGAGUUUGCUCAGGCAGUGAAUGAUCAGACAUACGUGAAUAACGAAAGUGUAAGAUUAAAAAGUAGAAGUAAGUACUUUCUUGAUGAACCAGAGUUGUGUAGGGCCAUUUAUGUCCCAGCACACAAGACAACAUGCACAGAGAAGCAGAAAUCCAUUCAUCAUGUUUAUAGGAGAAAGGAAAGUCUAGAAAAAUGCCUAGGUGUGAGGAGUCUUCCCUAGCCAUUAGACAGUCCUAAGCAUGUAUCACAAUAUUUGCUCAAUGGGAAGAUUUGGGGGUGAAUGGUGUCCAGUGUGAUGAGCUAGAUCGGAAAGGAGCCAGAUUGUUUUCUCUUACCAUCUGAAAUACUGAAAUCUUUGAUUUUUACGAAUGUCUUCACAGCUGAAAUGCAUUAUGUAAAUUCAUUCUCUACUUAGUUGAGGAUGCUACCAAAUAAUCUGAGCAGUUGUUAAAACAUCUGGGUCUCUUUAGCAGCACGGAUAAAGCCUGACUUGUUAAGUGCACUUUUUUCCUUCCAGUUUAACUUUAAUUAAUCCUUGCAGGGUCUCUGUGAGGUAGGUCUGUAUCAACCUUGCGACGUGACAGUUGCAAAAAACUCAUAUGCAGAGAUUAAGGAACGCUUGAUCGCCCAGCAUACUGAAAGCCAAACUGGGUUUGGGGAUGCAGAAUUUCUGACUCUCUCUGGACAGUUUUUCCAGGAAUUAGAUUAUAACUAGGAAGGGUUGUUCUUUACUUAAGUUUUUUUUUUAAAAAAAUCUGAUUUAAAUCUGCAUCCAGAAUUUUACCUGGAUGCAUUCCCUCAUUUUCCAUUUUGCAAAAUUGCAGCUCAGCCUAGAGGCAAAAACUUCACCAAGGCAAUCCUAGUGAUCUUUUUGACCUGAAUGGAGACAUGAUUUGAGAUUCCACAAGGAAGCCAAUUUUGUAAGAAUUUCCACUAGUCUGUAGACUGUAAUAAUUGGGUUAUUUGGAUAAGGUUUGGCAAAGCAUCUUGAAGAUUAACUGAAUGAGGUUUCUGGAGGUUUGCCAUUCUGGAGCUAUCCAUUUUGUUCUUUGUUCUACCUCAUUAUAAAAUGGGCUAUUGAAAUUGGUUGGUUUGUUGGUAUGUGAGGUUUUUCUUUUUUUCCCCUUUCUUAUUCUUUACAUCUGAGCCCUUAAUUUGGUUGAAGGCAAGCUCUUCAGUCUAAGUGGAUAACAAAACAUCCCUUUGAGGAGAAGGAAAUAGAUGAUAAAAUCUGCAUGUUACUAAUUUUUUCAAUAGUUUGAAGGAAUUUCUCUCCCAUCCUGUGUGUGUUUUUAAGACCCUGUUAAGUUCAUAGUUCCUUUUUCUUGUUUGAAUAGAAAAAUGAUUCCCUUUAAUCCCCCCUGAGUGUUAAAAAUGUAUUAUUGAACGGCCCAGUUCAGGAAUUUAGUUCCCUCUUACACUGAAUGGAGGUAUGUAUGACCUGAUAGUCAAAGAAUGCUAUUCAGAGACAUUUCCGCCUGUUUGUUUCUUGGAUCAGUUACUGUUCACAUAAAGUCUGGAAAGAAGCCAAAACGUGUAAACAAAUUAAGAAUUUUGAGUAUCCCAGUGGGAAUAUCCGUAAGUUCUACCAAGAAUCAGGAAUUGAAGAUCAGUGCAAUAUGCUUUCAUGGGACAGCCAGGAGAGGCAACUAUAGACCAAAUAUUCUUGGCUUUGGUUUGGGAAUCUUAAUGGAUAUUAAAAGAUUUGGGUUAAUGAUGGAGUUAUGCAUACCACUAGUUUUUCCCAAACGUAUAUAUAUUGCCUAAAUGGAAUUUCAUUUUUCUUUCACUAACUUUUAGUUCCUUAAUAUCAAUAAACUUUCAACUCUGAAGCUCCUGCUUGAUAUUAUUUCAGCAGAUAAAAUAUGUAAUAUGUAAAUUAUUUAUCUUUAUCACUAAUAAUUCGUGAUGCUACACAUCUACAUUAAUCUGUGACUACAGUGAAUGACAGUUUGGUGGACUGGGGAUUUUUCCUCUGGUGUUUUUUUGAUAUAGUCUCUUCUUCCAACUAUCUAUCUCAGCAUAUGAAUUGAAAAUUGUGGUCUCUUUAUUUCCUUUAUUUCCUCCAGAAAUAAAACUUAAAUGUAAAACUUCCCCUUAAUUUUAAUUUCCUUUAAGCUAUUAAAAGUUUUAUCACCA